AUUGAACGCUGGCGGCAUGCUUUACACAUGCAAGUCGAACGGCAGCGCGGGCUUCGGCCUGGCGGCGAGUGGCGAACGGGUGAGUAAUACAUCGGAACGUGCCCAGUAGUGGGGGAUAGCUCGGCGAAAGCCGGAUUAAUACCGCAUACGACCUGAGGGUGAAAGCGGGGGAUCUUCGGACCUCGCGCUAUUUGAGCGGCCGAUGGCAGAUUAGCUAGUUGGUGGGGUAAAGGCCUACCAAGGCGACGAUCUGUAGCUGGUCUGAGAGGACGACCAGCCACACUGGGACUGAGACACGGCCCAGACUCCUACGGGAGGCAGCAGUGGGGAAUUUUGGACAAUGGGCGAAAGCCUGAUCCAGCAAUGCCGCGUGUGUGAUGAAGGCCUUCGGGUUGUAAAGCACUUUUGGCGGGAACGAAAAGGACUGUGCCAAUACCACGGUUCGAUGACGGUACCCGCAGAAUAAGCACCGGAUAACUACGUG
This 484-nucleotide ribosomal RNA is filed under the name uncultured bacterium. RNAcentral describes it as "partial 16S ribosomal RNA". It matches the Rfam family "Bacterial small subunit ribosomal RNA", at positions 29 to 507 of the family's 1533-position model. The record is from RNAcentral.